This 293-nucleotide long non-coding RNA is filed under the name Panax ginseng (ginseng). RNAcentral's name for it is "long non-coding RNA (PGIN_LNC009127)". Lineage: Eukaryota; Viridiplantae; Streptophyta; Magnoliopsida; Apiales; Araliaceae. The record is from RNAcentral.
ACCCGCAUCCUCGUCCCAGAUCAAUAUGAUGUCUGGACAACCUUCCUCUCAUACCAGUAAUAAUAAUACUGAUACUGAUAAUGAAGAAGAAGAUUCCGAUUUUUCCCCUAUUAAUAUUUUUGAAAUCCAGAAUAAUUUUCAGGAAAUGCAAAAUAUUAAUAAAACUACUUAUAGCUGAAAGCCUAUUAAUAGAAUGGCUUUAUCUGGACCUAGUAGGUACUACUACCCCAGACCUACUCCUCAGGAUAUUCUGUAUGAAGAAGACUUUCUUCAUUCCCAGAAGUCUUAUCAUG